AAGAGGCAUUAGUGGAGAAAAGGAGAAGAGGCAGUAGUGGAGAAGAGGAGAAGAGGCAGUAGAGGAGAAGAGGCAGUAGUGGAGAAGAGGCAGUAGUGGAGAAGAAGAGAAGAGUCAGUAGUGGAGAAGAGGAGAAGAGGCAGUAGAGGAGAAGAGGCAGUAGUGGAGAAGAGGCAGUAGUGGAGAAGAGGAGAAGAUGCAGUAGUGAAGAAGAGGAGAAGAGGCAGUAGAGGAGAAGAGGAGGAGGCAGUAGUGGAGAAGAGGAGAAGAUGCAGUAGUGAAGAAGAGGAGAAGAGGCAGUAGAGGAGAAGAGGAGAAGGCAGUAGUGGAGAAGAGGAGAAGAGGCAGUAGAGGAGAAGAGGAGAAGAGGCAGUAGAGGAGAAGAGGAGAAGAGGCAGUAGUGGAGAAGAGGCAGUAGAGGAGAAGAGGAGAAGAGGCAGUAGUGGAGAAGGGGAGAAGAGGCAGUAGUGGAGGAGAAGAUGCAGUAGAGGAGAAGAGGAGAAGAGGCAGUAGUGGAGAAGAGGAGAAGAGGCAGUAGUGGAGAAGAGGCAGUAGAGGAGAAAAGGAGAAGAUGCAGUAGAGGAGAAGAGGAGAAGAGGCAGUAGAGGAGAAGAGGAGAAGAGGCAGUAGUGGAGAAGAGGAGAAGAGGCAGUAGUGGAGAAGAGGAGAAGAGGCAGUAGUGGAGAAGAGGAGAAGAGGCAGUAGAGGAGAAGAGGCAUUACUUUCACUAAAGACAAUUAUUUGCGUUUCCAAGACUACAUUACAGUUGAAUAUGUGCUACAUAACCCACAACAUAUUGUAAUGUAUUAACACAUGAAUCUGAUAAUCUGUGUUGCAUCUGAAUUAUGUUCAGGGCAGAGGAAAACAUACUGAAGCACUCAGCCAGAUCUCAACAAAAUCAGGCCACAAAGUGACUUUUGUGCUUCUAAACUUGUCUUUUCAAUGUGAUUUUCAUAUUCUGAUAGCAGAAGUCGCAUGUAAGUGUCAAGUGUAGACAUGACCUAAGUAGCCCAGAGAGCUUUUGUCAUGUAGGACAGUGUUCUCCAACUGGCGGCUGAAUUUGGGCCGUGUACUGUUUUAUUUUAAAAUCUCUGAAUAUUAUGUUGUUGAACAGAAAUGUAUAAACUGUAAGAUCACCAGGCAAUCAGCUCCAAGUGAUUUUCAUUUAGGAAAUCUGUUCCCAAGUAUUCUCAUGCGUAAUAGAGAGACAUGUGUCUGUGUGUGUCUGUGUGUCUG
Oncorhynchus tshawytscha (Chinook salmon) is the source of this 1236-nucleotide long non-coding RNA. The record is from Ensembl. NCBI's taxonomy places the organism in Eukaryota, Metazoa, Chordata, Actinopteri, Salmoniformes, Salmonidae.